Molecule: microRNA precursor, 63 nt
Filed under: Panagrellus redivivus
Lineage: Eukaryota; Metazoa; Nematoda; Chromadorea; Rhabditida; Panagrolaimidae
Description: microRNA prd-mir-9b precursor
Gene: prd-mir-9b
Rfam family: mir-9/mir-79 microRNA precursor family
About the family: The mature ~21nt miRNAs are processed from hairpin precursor sequences represented here. miR-9 is processed from the 5' arm of its precursor, and miR-79 from the 3' arm. The bounds of the precursors are predicted based on conservation and base pairing and are not generally known.
Source: miRBase by way of RNAcentral
CUUUGGUGAUUUAGCUGUAUGAGUUUUACUAGACUUACAUCAUAAAGCUAGGUUACCAGAGCU